This is a long non-coding RNA of Oncorhynchus nerka (sockeye salmon), 2892 nucleotides long. RefSeq lists it as uncharacterized. The record is from RefSeq and is a predicted model, not a curated record. The transcript is spliced from 2 exons. NCBI's taxonomy places the organism in Eukaryota, Metazoa, Chordata, Actinopteri, Salmoniformes, Salmonidae.
GGGGUCGCUUUCUCAUUAUAAGAACUGCGAUGGUGAGAUUAAUGGUACCACUAUUCAUGACUGUAUUAUGUGUUCCUGUGUCGGUCUCAUAGGCUAAAGAAAAAUGGCCAUGUUUAUUUAGUCAGGCAAGUCCAUUAAUUCUGUUAUUUUUAAAAAUUAAAUAACAAGUUUAAUGUCAAUGCAUUUGCUUGGCCUAAAUAAAAAUGUGGUGUUCUUAAAGUGGUUCUAUGUUAAGCCCUAUAUGUUGUUUACUAUAAUAUGAUAUAAUGUAUUAUAAGAUUCUGGAGCUGGUUAACCACUCAACAGUGCAGCGUUAAGAGACCAACAAACAAGAUUUGGGUCUCAGCCUUUAUAGGAAAAAUACAACCUGUGUGUCUGUGUGUCUCUCUGUGUGUGUCUCUGUGGACUGUGAGUGAGUGAGUGUGUCUGUGUGUGUCUCUGUGGACUGUAAGUGUGUCUGUGUGUGUCUCUGUGGACUGUAAGUGUGUGUGUGUGGACUGUGAGUGAGUGUGUCUGUGUGUGUCUCUGUGGACUGUAACUGUGUGUGUGUGUGUGUGUGGACCGUGAGUGAGUGUGUGUGUCUCUGUGGACUGUGUGUGUGAGUGUGUGAGUGUGUGAGUGAGUGAGUGAGUGUGAUAACUGCUGCGCAAGCUGACCUCUGUUCUCUUCAUAUCUCCACACUGUCGUUGAAAGAUACGAAAAGAACAGGGUGGACCAAAAAAAAACGUGGUCAGUCAGUCUGAGGCUCUUUGUCUUUGGCCGCGUGACCCAAGUUACUCAGAAACAACGAGAGGAAAAACACUGGCUUCUUUUAAUACAUGACAGAAACAGACCGUCUCAAUGCUUAAAAAUCCUUCUUUUAACCUGUCUCCUCCCCUUCAUCUACAUUGAUUUGGUAGUGAAUUCAACAAGUGACAUCAACAAGGGAUCAUAGCUGUCUCCCGGUCAGUCUGUCAUGGAAAGGUGUUCCUAAUGUUUUAUAUUCUCUGUGUAUAUAUAUCCCUGGGCCUUUUGUCGUUGUAAGGGUGGAUUUAUGGGCCAAAUGAAGAUUGGGGUUUGGAUUCAAAUUAUUAACAAAAUCAUGCCCCCUUUGGCCAAGCUCCACGUGCAAAUUGGCCCCGGUCUGCCUGCCCCCCUCUCCCAACACGUCCAACGGAAGGCAGAUCGUGACCAUGCCUCCACAGCCAAAGUUAUGUGGUUUGCAUGUCCUGCCGGAGGAUCCUGACUAUGCGGAACAGGUGGAUGGCGCUCGUCUGGUGGUGGCCCUCCGUGUCAACACCACCUCGUAAGAUGAGGAAGUACAUUGUGUAUGAGGAUCGCCUGCUGCAGUUGUUCGAGACGGAUCCAGUUUGCAGCCCCCAACAUGCAACAGGGAGGAGACCAGAAAAGGGGACCCGCUGCAUCACGCAGACAUACCCUCUCUGUAGAUGUGCGGACUCGAGUCACAUGACUUGGACUCGAGUCACAUGACUUGGACUCGAGUCACAAAUUUGAUGACUUAAAACUCGGCUUCAUAGAAAAAUAUAAUAUCUAGAGACGGAUGACUUGAAAUGAUCAGACCAUGUUUUUGUAAUGUUUUGUUACUAGUUGUGUUGCACAGAGUCGACGUAGUUACUCCAAGCAGCUGGAGACAGUAGCUGCAGCUAUGCGCUUGCAAAAAAAAAAAAAAAAAAAGUACAACUAACUGGUUAGUGAACCGCACAUUCAGCCCUCUGAUUGGACCAGCAGACUGUCAAUCAACACGUUUCGGAUGAGCUAGCCUAGUGAAAAGGGUUUUGGGGCCAUCAGUGUGAAAUGGGAUUUAUUUUAUAUGCUGUACAUAUGUUAAUAGGUUAUUAGCCUACCAUUUGUAUUUUCUAUUUAUGCCUUUGCAUAUUCGAUCUGGUAACUAACAUAGACCUUGCGGCAGGGUAGCCUAGUGGUCAGAGCGUUGGCGAAGCAUCAUUACCCAUCCCUUAUACAAAAGCAGUGCAAAGGGGAACCACUACUUCAAGGUCUCGGAGCGCGUGACGUCACCGAUUGAACCGCUAUUAGCGCGCACCUCGCUAACUAGCUAGCCAUUUGUCAUCUGGUUACAUGUACCUUUGAGCGAGGCCUAGUAGUUUGGAUUAUAAUCCGUGUUCAUAAAGUGUUCAUACCCCUUGAUUUAUUCCACAUGUUGUGUUACAGCUUGAAUUAAAAAAAAAAAAAUGCAUAAAGUAUAUCUUCUCUCACCCAUCUACACACAAUUACCCUAUAAUGACAAAGUGGAUUUUUGUUUUUGUGUGACCGACCAGUAUCUUUGAUGACGGGCCAGGAGCUGAUCUACUCUGCUGCCAGCCUCUUUGCCUGCUCACCUGCGGUUUUCAGUGGGGAGAACAUCAUUUAGUUCGGUUUAGUCUGACCUGUUCAAACGUCAAACAGAGGACACGUUUGUUAGUCAGAUAGCAUCGGUCCUAACUGCCGUUGGUCAUAGAACAGCAACUGGGUUCACAGCAACUGGGUUCACAGCAACUGGGUUCACAACAACUGGGUUCACAGCAACUGGGUUCACAACAACUGGGUUCACAACAACUGGGUUCACAACAACUGGGUUCACAGCAACUGGGUUCACAACAACUGGGUUCACAGCAACUGGGUUCACAGCAACUGGGUUCACAACAACUGGGUUCACAGCAACUGGGUUCACAACAACUGGGUUCACAGCAACUGGGUUCACAACAACUGGGUUCACAGCAACUGGGUUCACAGCAACUGGGUUCACAGCAACUGGGUUCACAGCAACUGGGUUCACAGCAACUGGGUUCACAGGUGGAUCUAUGGAGACUUGCAGGAUGACGUUCGGACGGGCUUGAUGUCUCGGAAAUGGAAAAGAAACCUGUCACUCUGCAUUAAACUUUUAGUUGACAUCUU